RNAcentral lists this ribosomal RNA (377 nucleotides) under uncultured bacterium. RNAcentral describes it as "bacterial SSU rRNA". It matches the Rfam family "Bacterial small subunit ribosomal RNA", at positions 521 to 896 of the family's 1533-position model. The record is from RNAcentral.
UAAUACAGGGGGCUCGAGCGUUAAUCGGAAUCACUGGGCUUAAAGGGUGCGUAGGCGGAUCAGUAAGCGUCCCGUGAAAUCCCUUGGCUCAACCAAGGAACCGCGGGGCGAACUGCUGAUCUUGAGGAAGCUAGAGGCGGGUAGAACGAUAGGUGGAGCGGUGGAAUGCGUAGAUAUCUAUCGGAAUGCCGAAAGUGAAGACAGCCCGCUGGGGCUUUCCUGACGCUAAAGCACGAAAGCGUGGGGAGCAAACCGGAUUAGAUACCCGGGUAGUCCACGCCCUAAACGAUGUGCACUAGACUGGAGCGGCUCUGACGUCGUUCUGGUCGGAGAGAAAUUGUUAAGUGCACCGCCUGGGUAGUACGGUCGCAAGGCUA